GACGAACCGUGCAAACGUUAUUCGGAAUCACUGGGCAUAAAGGGCGCGUAGGCGGCUUUCUAAGUCAGGGGUGAAAUCCGGCAGCUCAACUGUUGCAGUGCCUUUGAUACUGGAGAGCUCGAGGGAGGUAGGGGUCUGUGGAACUUCCGGUGGAGCGGUGAAAUGCGUUGAUAUCGGAAGGAACGCCGGUGGCGAAAGCGACGGACUGGAUCUCUUCUGACGCUGAGGCGCGAAAGCCAGGGGAGCAAACGGG
RNAcentral lists this ribosomal RNA (253 nucleotides) under uncultured bacterium. RNAcentral's name for it is "partial 16S ribosomal RNA". It matches the Rfam family "Bacterial small subunit ribosomal RNA", at positions 524 to 776 of the family's 1533-position model. The record is from RNAcentral.